GUUAAUUGAUCCCCUUGGGGAGUCCGGCCCCAAGGUUAAAAUUCAAAGGAAUGGACGGGGGCCGGCCCAAGCGGUGGACCAUGGGGUUUAAUUGGAGGCAACGGGAGGACCCUUACCGGCUUUGGCCAUCAACGGACGUUUCCGGGAAGGAUUUGUGCCUUUGGGGACAUUGGGACCAGAGGUGCAAGGCUGUUGUCAUCUUGUGUUGUGGGAAGAUGGGGUAAAUUCCCUCACGAGGGCCACCCCUUUCCUUAUUUACCAACAUGUUAUGGUGGGCACUCUAAGGAGACUGCCGGUGACAAACCGGAGGAAGGUGGGGAUGACGUCAAGUCAUCAUGGCCCUUACGGCCUGGGCUACACACGUGCUACAAUGGUCGGUACAAAGGGAAGCCAAUCCGGAGAUCGAGCUAAUUUCAUAAAAGCGAUCGUAGUCCGGAUCGCAGUCUGCAACUCGAAUCCGUGAAGUCGGAAUCGUUAGUAACGCGAAUCAGAAUGUUCGGUGAAUACGU
Molecule: ribosomal RNA, 509 nt
Filed under: Pseudomonas sp. DJM1B11
Lineage: Bacteria; Pseudomonadati; Pseudomonadota; Gammaproteobacteria; Pseudomonadales; Pseudomonadaceae
Description: bacterial SSU rRNA
Rfam family: Bacterial small subunit ribosomal RNA
Source: RNAcentral